Sus scrofa (pig) is the source of this 3871-nucleotide non-coding RNA. The record is from RefSeq and is a predicted model, not a curated record. Lineage: Eukaryota; Metazoa; Chordata; Mammalia; Artiodactyla; Suidae.
GCCUGGAAACCUCCAUAUGCCGCGGGAGCGGCCCAAGAAAUGGCAAAAAGACAAAAAAAAAAGUCAGUGCCUAAAAGUAUGUCUGUUUUCAUUCAUUUCACAAAUAUUUUCUGAGCACCUCCACUAUGCCAAGCAUUGUUAUAAAAACUAGGAAGGACGUACAAUAAAAUCAGAUGAAAUAUAUUGUCUAGUAGUAGACAGUAAGAGGUGCUAUAAAGAAAAAUAAAGCAGAUAGGAGGGAUGGAGAAUGUUGAGGUGGGGAGUUAACAAUUUUAAAUAAAGUCAGUCAGGAAAGCCUUUUUGGAAAUGAUGAUAACUGAACAAACACUCCUAGGUGAUGAGGGCAGUGUGUCCCAGGCCAGAACAGCCAAUGCAAAGGCACUGAGGCAGGGGUAGAACAGCCAGGAGGUACUAAGGCUGGAGCAGCAUGAACAAAAGAAACUGGGAGUAAGAGAGAGGUUACCAUCUAAGAGAGAGAGACCAGACUGUCUAGGGCCUUGAGGUUAUAGUCAAAGACUCUGGCUUGUAAUCCAAAAUGAUCUGCCUUAGGUGUGAAAAGAAGCACUAUGUCCUUUGCACAGCUGAGAAGAAAGGACCAAGGGUGGAAGAGAGGAGUUAAGAAACUACUGUGGUAACCCAGACUCGGCCCCCCAUACAGUGCACUGAAUACGGAUAAAAAGGUACAUUGUUAUAUAAGAAGAUGAGAAAGGGGCUGUCACGAGCCUGUCAUCAUGAUCGCAUUCUGCUGGUGAACUGGGAGAGGAGAGAAGUGGAGAAGAGUAAGCAGCAAGGUAUAAGGGAAGGUUGAAAGGAGAAACUCUUCAGUGAUGGGAGGGGAACCCGAAGGCUUAUAUGGAUCCCCCAGAGAUUUGUUUUGGGAAGGGGGUUGGAGGCAGGAAGUGGGUGAGGGGGCUCCCUCACUCCUUAGGCCUUCUUCAAUGGGGAGCAAAGUCUAGGAACAUUCACCCCAGGCCUCUCUCCAGUCACUGGGUUGGUGAUUGGGGAGCACUCAGCUGCAGGUGGUUCUCCCUCCUCCCCCUCUCCUCCCCCUUCUCUUCAAUAAUGCCCCACAGGGGCCCCCUCCCACCUGAGCAAGCCUGGCCCAGCCCAGCAGAUCCUAUAACUGUAUGGAGUUCUAUCUAAUUCUAGGGUUCAGAUUAAGAAACUCAUUUGCUCCUUGAUAGAAGCCACAUUCUUCAACACCAGCUUUUUGGGCAAUAAAGAUGAGAAUUUGGUCUCCAUCUGUUUUUGUUGUUGUUUGUUUGUUUUCAACCUAAAUUGACCAGAUCUUAUCUGAGUAAGAAGGGUGUUAUUAUUGGAAUGCUCUAGAGUCCAUCAGGGCUGGGAAUAGACUGGUAUGGACAGGAUUGGACCCUGCCUAUGUAUGAAAAGCUGUGAAGACAGAUAUUUUUUCUUUUCUUUUAUUAGAGAGGAAUUAUCUAGAACUCCAUAUCUAAGAAUGCAGUUGACAAAUCACUAGUUUCAAGGGGUUCACAUAGAAACAACUACUUCUAUGGUCAAAAGUAGGAGAAAAACCUGCAGAAUGUGUUCCUCUCCAAUUGAUUUCCAAUUCUCUUUAACAUACUAAAGGCUCUGAGAAACUCUUCAGUAAAGAAACCCCCAAUUUUUUUUCCAAUGCAUUUGACUUUUAUAGUAAACUUUAAUCAAUGGAUACCUAUUAAACAUCUUGCAGAUGUCUAUGAACAUAACAUGGGAAAUGCUCAUAUAACAUUUCUGAAGCUAAAACUGAAUAUGAAAUAUACUGUGUUUACUGGGUUUUUUAGACAACUCUCAACACUGGCAAAUUUCUUAUUUAGUCUUUGAACCUUCAUUUGAUACAACAUUAACCCACACUUACUUUCCUUCAGAUGAUUCACUUUACAACUCCCUCUUAAUUCAUUCAGCUGCAUUUGGGGCAGACUAGAAGAAUGUGACUGCAUUCUACUACAUGAUUCCAAUUCCAGAAUAGCUGAUAAUCGACAAAGCAGAAAAGGAUAGCCAGAUACCUUGAAGACACAGGAGAAAGCCCUAGUGCUCAGAAAUAUCUCCUCCACAAAUUCUACCAAUUAGAGAUUCAUUAGAGUUAAUGAGCGCCUCUUUUAAAAUGCAAAUGCCCUCUGAGAGUGUUUGCUUAUUAGUCUUUCACCAAGGGACAUAGUGGAAAGAACAGUGCAAUGGCCACUCCAUUAACUCCUUUGCAUUCUUCAGUCACACACUCAUUAUCCAAGGCGGGCCUGGCACGGUGGCAAGAUAAUGGCUUUGGAAUCCGCCAGAACGCAACCCAAAUCUUUUACCAAAUCUAUGACCUUGUGCAAGUUACUUAACUCCCCAGAGCCUCAAUUUCCUCAUCUGAAAAAUGGGAACAAUGAUACAUAAUAAGGCUAUUAUACAGAUUAAAUGAGAAAACAUGUUAAACACUAAUUGUAGAGAAGAAGGGAGAGGAGCUGGGGCAAGGUUAGCAUUAUGUCAUAAGUCUUGGUGCCAAAUGCUGCCCUGUUGCCAUGAUUGUAUCUUGGGAGAGGUAAAAGCAAAAGCCCUGUCUUAUAAUUUCAUUUAGUGCUCGAAGCAGUAUUGGGAGGUAGGCUUUGUUAUAUCCACUUAAGAAAGGCAGAGCUGAUGUUGGAAUCCAAGUCUGCUGACAAUGCCAAAUCAUCACAUCAUAUUAUGCAGCUUCCUCUUAUUGAUCGAAUGUGAGUUAAGUUAUCCAACUCAGCUUCAUACGUUUUACAUUUAAGUCUCCUCCAGUUUAGUUUUCCCCUUCACUUUUUCUAAUUCUAUCUACCUGCUCCCCAUUUUCGACUUCACUGAAGAGAGAAGGAAGAGAGAAAAAGCAAAAGAACUAAUUGCUGAAGACAUGCCCUGCCCAGGAGCCUAAUGCUGCCAGGUCAGGAUUCUGCAGACAACUGCAAUCUCACAAGAAAAUAAGCCAGGGCAGGAACAGCUAAGCCGUAGAGGGAGGAGUGCAGUUAGCAAACAAAUAGAGGAAACUAAGCUAACCAGGAAUUAAAGGCAAGCAAAUUAAAAUGGCACCAAGAACAUAUUAAGGUAGCAUCCCCAAAUUAUUACAAAAUCGUUAAGGAUGCUUACAACUAACACAUUGGCAUCAUUGUGAUAAUGAAACAAAUGCUCAGAAAACAUCUGCUGAUUCAAAUGUAUGUGGGAAGGGGGACAAUAAGAAAGAUAACUGUAUACAUACACUCCCAAGGGCUUAUAAAAAGAAUUAUAAAUGGCUGUUAAAAUAUGAAGAAAAUUGAAAUUAAGAGUUCAACAGAACAGGCAAUGUAGUUUAUAUCAGAGUGAAUUUUAAUUUUAAUAUAUAUUUAUACAUAAGUUUAACGCACUAUGUUAGAUUUUAACCUUAUGACUACUAUUAAAAUCAUACAGCUAAAACCUUGUUUACUUCUUUGAAAGCUUAGGGUCACAUUGGAUACUUAAAGGCUAAUUUACUCAGGGAAGUAAGAAUAACAGCAAAUCCAACUGAAGCCAGAUCCAUUGAACAGUCCUCCGGCAGCUCUGAAUUAACUUGUCCAAGGAUCCCACAGAUUUCUUGAGUUUGAGUCUUGUUACUUUGUAGCUAUGGGUAAUAAUUUUCUGGAAGGUUUUGAGCAAUUCAAAACAUCAAUUAAGUACUUAACACCAUGUUAAACAGUUAAGCCCAGGCAUUCUUAUUUUUAGGCUAGAAGACUAGAAACUCAAAAGGCCAAAUAAAUUUCGUACUUGUAUAUUUGAACAAUACCAUAUUAUGCUGUACAAAUAUGCAUUCAAAGUUUGUUUUUUUGUUUUUUUGGUUUUUUUUGUCUUUUUGCUAUUUCUUUGGGCUGCUUCUGCGACAUAUGGAGGUUCCCAGGCUAGGGGUUUAAUCGGAGCUGUA